CCCUUAGAUGUUCUGGGCUGCACGCGCGCUACACUGAUGCACUCAACGAGUUUACGACCUUGCCCGAUAGGGUUGGGUAAUCUUUUUAAAAUGCAUCGUGAUGGGGAUAGAUUAUUGCAAUUAUUAAUCUUCAACGAGGAAUUCCUAGUAAGCGCGAGUCAUCAGCUCGUGCUGAUUACGUCCCUGCCCUUUGUACACACCGCCCGUCGCUCCUACCGAUCGAAGAGUUAGGUGAAUUGUUUUGAUCGAUAAGAUUUGACUAUGGUCAACUCUCGUUGUGAAAUUCUGUGAAUCUGACUGUUUAGAGGAAGGAAAAGUCGUAACA
This 325-nucleotide ribosomal RNA is filed under the name uncultured eukaryote. Its description in RNAcentral is "partial 18S ribosomal RNA". It matches the Rfam family "Eukaryotic small subunit ribosomal RNA", at positions 1470 to 1796 of the family's 1831-position model. The record is from RNAcentral.